Molecule: ribosomal RNA, 175 nt
Filed under: uncultured bacterium
Lineage: Bacteria
Description: partial 16S ribosomal RNA
Rfam family: Bacterial small subunit ribosomal RNA
Source: RNAcentral
GCUGGAAUUGCUAGUAAUGGCAGGUCAGCAUACUGCCGUGAAUACUUCCCGGGCCUUGUACACACCGCCCGUCACACCAUGAGAGUUGGAAAUACCCGAAGCCUGUGAGCUAACAGUAAUGAGGCAGCAGUCGAAGGUAGAGCCAAUGAUUGGGGUGAAGUCGUAACAAGGUACC